Alosa sapidissima (American shad) is the source of this 2243-nucleotide long non-coding RNA. RefSeq lists it as uncharacterized. The transcript has 3 exons. Lineage: Eukaryota; Metazoa; Chordata; Actinopteri; Clupeiformes; Clupeidae. The record is from RefSeq and is a predicted model, not a curated record.
AAACACAAACAAAACCCACACAUUGUUUUAGUGUCUGAGAGUAUAUUUGUGUAGCGGGUACAAUGGGGGAAAUGGGGAAUGCAGCUUGAUGCCCUGCUUUCAGGUGCUAAUUGAUUAGACCAGGUGGUACAGCGCUUAAAUAAGCCAGCUGACUAGAGGACAUGAGAGCGGUCUGUUUGAAACGGUGAAUCAGGAAGUUGGUGUGUCGGUGGUGCAUAGCGGAGAUUCUCAGCCUGGGGCGCGUUACGCUACGUUCGCUACGAUAAAGAGUACACAGUGACUAGUACAUCCACACUGGUUUUAAGAAUACAGAAGCUACGCUGACAUCGGAGAGUGUACAGGCUACAGCUUGUUUACUAUCCAUACUGGUUCAAUCACGUUAAAACUAAAGCGAGUGCAUACAGCUCGUAUUUCAUCUACACCGGUUUUAAGAAUGUGAGGUUACUAGCUCCCUUUUCCCUGGUUGAUACGAAGCCUAGUACUUAUAGGUCUGACUCUUUCCUGUUUGUCAUUGUCCAGACAGAAGCUACGCCUACAUAGGAGAGUGUACAACUUGUUUACUAUACAUACUGGUUCAAUCACGUCAAAACUAAAGCGAGUGCAUACAGCUCGUUUCUCAUCCACACUGGUUUUAAGAAUGUAAGUUGAUGUUGGUCUGUUGGUCACAUUUGUUAAUAUGAAGUUAAAAAUAAAAGACAGUUUAGAAAAAGCAAAGCUGUUAUGUAAUAGGAACACUUAAGAGAGUAACCGUGUCUUGUCUUUGGGCUAUUAUUUGGAAAUGAGAUGUGCAUAUGAGGAUGUAAGGAUGUCAGGAUGUUUGCUAUUUGAUUAGCUAAAAUAAAUACUGAAAACCAAACAACUCGAGGAAACCCGUCUUGGAUCGCAGGAGUGUCAUGCAAUGUUGAUUUCUAGUGAGCAGUUGACAGUAACUGAUGGCUAGAAGGAGCUAUGUAAAACAUGGAAGUGAGCUAACUGAUGGCUAGAAGUAGGCUAUGUAAAAAAACGCGUAUCAUAUGGCAGACUCCUUUGCGAUACAAGAGCGGUUCUCUUCAAGUUGUUUGGUUAGGCUGAAAGGAAAAGGGCUAAAAGGCAGUUCUCUACUGACGUUGUCCUGAACUUCCUUGAUGGCAAUUUGAGCGACAUACAGGGCCUUGUAGAGACAGAUGAUGAAGUGGAAGAUAGGAAUUGGACUAAUGCACAGCAUGAUGAUGAAGAUGAAAGUUGUAGUAGUAGCAAUGAGGAAGAUGAAGGUAUUGACCAGAAAUAGACCUGAAACUGGAGAAGGGGUUCCAACACUUAGACACGCAACAGAGGCAAGGGAGAGGCAAAGGAAAAAGUAAAGAGAAGGAGAGACACACACAGCUGAAAGUGUUGACAAGACGAGCUCAGAAGAAGAGAGUGCAACAGCAACACAUGCCACAAGAACAAAAAUCUGCAAAGAAAAAGACAAAGGAGUACAGAUGGAGAAAAGCCGACUUUGAAGGUCCAGACGUUCAAUUUGAUGACUGUGUAGAUGAAGCAAUUGAAGAAAGGUCUGAGUUUACGCCAUAUAUGUACUUCAAGCAAUUUGUGACAAAUUAAAUGUUCGUUAGUUGCAGACCAAACAAACCUGUACAGUGUGCAGAAAGAAGAAAUAUCAGUCAACACAACUGUCAAAGAAAUUGACUUCUUGGUAUGUACAUGGGUUUGAUACAGAUGUCCAAUGUUAGAGCCUAUUGGGAAUUACAAUACAAGGUACCCUAAAGUUGCAGAUGUAAUGUCAUGGGACCGAUUACAGAAAUUGCUGACGCUGCUCCACUUCGAAGACAAUCUCUGUGUGACUGAAGAUGUAAUGAAGGAUACAAUGUGUUAACUCAGACCAUGGCUUGAAAAGCUACAACAGCAAUACCUUCAAAUACAUCCUAAAGAACAUCAUACAACUAUUCAUGAAACACUUGCAUUUAGUAUAUUUUGCACACACCCACACACACACACACAUAGGCUAAACACACACACAGCUAUUCAUUAAAUACUUGCAUUUUGCCAGACACCAAAAGGAACCACAUUGAUGUUGGUAAGGCUCAGCCCACUGUUCUUCAGAUACCUGCAAUGGGGUCAGGUUACUGUUAAUGCAUUGUUCCCUUUAAAUUUAUGGUGUUGGCAGAUGCUUUUAGUCUUACACAACUUACAUUAUAAGAACACUACAUUAAUUAAAACUAAUAGUUUCAAAUAAAGCUGAAAAUAUCAACAAUGUUUUUAUAUAC